UUCUUCGGACAAUAUACAAGGUGCUGCAUGGUUGUCGUCAGCUCGUGCCGUGAGGUGUCGGGUUAAGUCCCAUAACGAGCGCAACCCUAUCAUCUGUUGCCAGCAUUUAAGGUGGGGACGUCAGAUGAGACUGCCGGUGGCAAACCGGAGGAAGGUGGGGACGACGUCAAGUCAUCAUGGCCCUUAUGUCCUGGGCUACACACGUGCUACAAUGGCCGGUACAGAGUGAAGCGAAACCGCGAGGUGAAGCAAAACGCAGAAAGCCGGUCUCAGUACGGAUUGGAGUCUGAAACUCGACUUCAUGAAGUUGGAAUCGCUAGUAAUCGCGCAUCAGCAUGGCGCGGUGAAUACGUUCCCGGGCCUU
RNAcentral lists this ribosomal RNA (364 nucleotides) under uncultured Spirochaeta sp. RNAcentral's name for it is "bacterial SSU rRNA". It matches the Rfam family "Bacterial small subunit ribosomal RNA", at positions 1014 to 1382 of the family's 1533-position model. The record is from RNAcentral. Lineage: Bacteria; Pseudomonadati; Spirochaetota; Spirochaetia; Spirochaetales; Spirochaetaceae.